AACGAACGCUGGCGGCAGGCUUAACACAUGCAAGUCGAACGCCCCGCAAGGGGCGUGGCAGACGGGUGAGUACCGCGUGGGAAUCUACCCAUCCCUACGGAAUAACGCAUGGAAACGUGUGCUAAUACCGUAUACGCCCUACGGGGGAAAGAUUUAUCGGGGAUGGAUGAGCCCGCGUUGGAUUAGCUAGUUGGUGGGGUAAAGGCCUACCAAGGCGACGAUCCAUAGCUGGUCUGAGAGGAUGAUCAGCCACAUUGGGACUGAGACACGGCCCAAACUCCUACGGGAAGCAGCAGUGGGGAAUAUUGGACAAUGGGCGCAAGCCUGAUCCAGCCAUGCCGCGUGAGUGAUGAAGGCCUUAGGGUUGUAAAGCUCUUUCACCGGAGAAGAUAAUGACGGUAUCCGGAGAAGAAGCCCCGGCUAACUUCGUG
RNAcentral lists this ribosomal RNA (431 nucleotides) under uncultured bacterium. RNAcentral describes it as "partial 16S ribosomal RNA". It matches the Rfam family "Bacterial small subunit ribosomal RNA", at positions 29 to 507 of the family's 1533-position model. The record is from RNAcentral.